GAUGAACGCUGGCGGCGUGCCUAAUACAUGCAAGUCGAGCGAACAGACGAGGAGCUUGCUCCUCUGACGUUAGCCGCGGACGGGUGAGUAACACGUGGAUAACCUACCUAUAAGACUGGGAUAACUUCGGGAAACCGGAGCUAAUACCGGAUAAUAUAUUGAACCGCAUGGUUCAAUAGUGAAAGACGGUUUUGCUGUCACUUAUAGAUGGAUCCGCGCCGCAUUAGCUAGUUGGUAAGGUAACGGCUUACCAAGGCAACGAGGCGUAGCCGACGGGAGAGGCGGGUCGGCCACCUGAGAAGGGGAACGGCGUCCAGACUCCUACGGGAGGCAGCAGAAGGGAACGUGCCGCAAUGGGCGGAAGCCUGACGGAGCAAGGCCGCGUGAGUGAUGAAGGUCUUCGGAUCGUAAAACUCGGUUAUUAGGGAAGAACAAAUGUGUAAGUAAAUAUGCACGUCUUGACGGUACCUAAUCAGAAAGCCACGGCUAACUACGUG
This 497-nucleotide ribosomal RNA is filed under the name uncultured bacterium. RNAcentral describes it as "partial 16S ribosomal RNA". It matches the Rfam family "Bacterial small subunit ribosomal RNA", at positions 28 to 507 of the family's 1533-position model. The record is from RNAcentral.